GGCGGGGUGCUAUACAUGCAGUCGAGCGGACAGAAGGGAGCUUGCUCCCGGAUGUUAGCGGCGGACGGGUGAGUAACACGUGGGUAACCUGCCUGUAAGACUGGGAUAACUCCGGGAAACCGGAGCUAAUACCGGAUAGUUCCUUGAACCGCAUGGUUCAAGGAUGAAAGACGGUUUCGGCUGUCACUUACAGAUGGACCCGCGGCGCAUUAGCUAGUUGGUGAGGUAACGGCUCACCAAGGCGACGAUGCGUAGCCGACCUGAGAGGGUGAUCGGCCACACUGGGACUGAGACACGGCCCAGACUCCUACGGGAGGCAGCAGUAGGGAAUCUUCCGCAAUGGACGAAAGUCUGACGGAGCAACGCCGCGUGAGUGAUGAAGGUUUUCGGAUCGUAAAGCUCUGUUGUUAGGGAAGAACAAGUGCAAGAGUAACUGCUUGCACCUUGACGGUACCUAACCAGAAAGCCACGGCUAACUACGUGCCAGCAGCCGCGGUAAUACGUAGGUGGCAAGCGUUGUCCGGAAUUAUUGGGCGUAAAGGGCUCGCAGGCGGUUUCUUAAGUCUGAUGUGAAAGCCCCCGGCUCAACCGGGGAGGGUCAUUGGAAACUGGGAAACUUGAGUGCAGAAGAGGAGAGUGGAAUUCCACGUGUAGCGGUGAAAUGCGUAGAGAUGUGGAGGAACACCAGUGGCGAAGGCGACUCUCUGGUCUGUAACUGACGCUGAGGAGCGAAAGCGUGGGGAGCGAACAGGAUUAGAUACCCUGGUAGUCCACGCCGUAAACGAUGAGUGCUAAGUGUUAGGGGGUUUCCGCCCCUUAGUGCUGCAGCUAACGCAUUAAGCACUCCGCCUGGGGGAGUACGGUCGCAAGACUGAAACUCAAAGGAAUUGACGGGGGCCCGCACAAGCGGUGGAGCAUGUGGUUUAAUUCGAAGCAACGCGAAGAACCUUACCAGGUCUUGACAUCCUCUGACAACCCUAGAGAUAGGGCUUUCCCUUCGGGGACAGAGUGACAGGUGGUGCAUGGUUGUCGUCAGCUCGUGUCGUGAAAUGUUGGGGUUAAGUCCCGCAACGAGCGCAACCCUUGAUCUUAGUUGCCAGCAUUCAGUUGGGCACUCUAAGGUGACUGCGGGUGACAAACCGGGAGGAAGGUGGGGGAUGACGUCAAAUCAUCAUGGCCCCUUAUGACCUGGGGCUAACCCCGUGGCUACAAUGGAACAGAAACAAAGGGCUGGCAAAACCGCAAGGUUUAUCCCAUUCCCCCAAAUCUUGUUUCUAAUUU
Molecule: ribosomal RNA, 1281 nt
Filed under: Bacillus altitudinis
Lineage: Bacteria; Bacillati; Bacillota; Bacilli; Caryophanales; Bacillaceae
Description: bacterial SSU rRNA
Rfam family: Bacterial small subunit ribosomal RNA
Source: RNAcentral